UUUGAUUUAGGAUUUAGGAUUUGAUUAGGAUUUGGAUUAGGAUUUGGUUUAGGAUUUGAUUAGGGUUUUAUUUAGGAUUUAGAAUUUAAUUAGGAUUUGAUUUAGGAUUUAAGAUUUAGUUAGGGUUUGGUUUAGGGUUUAGGAUUUGGAUUAGGGUUUGAUUUAGGGUUUAGGAUUUGGUUAGGAUUUGCUUUAGGAUUUGAUUGUGGUUUGGUUCAAGGUUUAUUUAAGGUCUGAUUUAGGGUUUAGGAUUUUAUUAAGAUUUAAGAUUUAAUUAGUUUUGGCCUAAAGUUUGAAUGAAGUUCAAUAGGAUUUUAACUAGAAUUAAAUUAAGAUUAAAUUGAGAUGUAUUUGAGUGAUAUUUGUGUUCCUUCUAAUAUUUCUUUCAGAAUUCUUAUUAUUUGUUUGAAAUUUCUUUGAGGUUUUUUUGAAUUUGAUUAAUCUUGUUUAACAUUAUUAUGAUCUAAUUAGAGCAUUAUUAGUAUUCUAUUAGAAUUAGGAUUAUUUUAUUACAAUUUUCAUUCUUCUUUCCACAGCCAGGUGCCAAGAGCAUUUUCAAGCAAGUCUUCACGUAUCACAACAACGUCGACUUCAAUCUAAGACUUCUUUCACUUCAAACUCUUCAUUAUU
Molecule: long non-coding RNA, 630 nt
Filed under: Physcomitrium patens
Lineage: Eukaryota; Viridiplantae; Streptophyta; Bryopsida; Funariales; Funariaceae
Description: long non-coding RNA (PPAT_LNC012730)
Source: RNAcentral